This 833-nucleotide ribosomal RNA is filed under the name Alexandrium catenella. RNAcentral describes it as "eukaryotic LSU rRNA". The stretch from base 1 to 701 matches the Rfam family "Eukaryotic large subunit ribosomal RNA", at positions 25 to 664 of the family's 3401-position model. Lineage: Eukaryota; Dinophyceae; Gonyaulacales; Pyrocystaceae. The record is from RNAcentral.
UCACUAAAUUAAGCAUAUAGUAAGUGGUGGAAAUUAAACCAACUGGGAUCUCUUCAGUAAUUGCGCAUGAACCAGGAUAUGCUUAGCUUGACAAAUGGAGCUGCUGGCUCUGAAUUGUAUUGUGGGAAUGUAUUACCAACAGAGGUGCAGGUGUCAGCCAUUUGAAAGAAAGCAUCAAUGAGGGUGAGAGUCCUGUUUGUCAUGUGCAGCCUUCUGUGCACGGUGUAUAUUUGCUGACGCUCACACUCCUUGGCAUUGGAAUCGCAAAGUGGGUGGUAAGUUUCAUGCAAAGUGUAAAUAUGCAAUUGAGACUGAUAGCGCACAAGUACCAUGAGGGACAUAUGAAAAGGACUUUGAACAGAGAAUUAAAUGAGUUUGUAUUUGCUAAACACAAAGUAAACAGACUUGAUUUCCUCAGUGAGAUUGUAGUGCUUGCUUAACAAUGGGUUUUGGCUGCAAGUGCAAUAAUUCUUGCUUUGUGUGCCAGUUUUUAUGUGGACAUUUGAUUACCUUUGCACAUGAAUGGUAAUUUUCCUGCGGGGUGUGGAUUGCAUAUGCAUGUAAUGAUUUGCAUGUUUGUUAAAUGUGUCUGGUGUAUUUGUUUGUGUCCUUGUCCUUGAGGUUGCUUUCUCCCUUGGGCUUACAUGCCCUGGCACACACAUUCUGGCAAAAUCGCUUCUGCUUGCCCGUCUUGAACACGGCCCAGUUUGAGGCAACUCAGGGCAUGGCAAAACAUUGCACCGGCACAUUGACAAGAUCAAAACUUGCAGGAUGGGAAUCACACCGGAGGGAAUACCCUCAUCGUCAAGUGAGCAAAGGCCAUAAUCUGGCUC